AGGUAAGCUACUAAGAGCGAAUGGUGGAUGCCUUGACUGGUAGAGGCGAUGAAGGACGUACUAGACUGCGAUAAGCUACGGGGAGCUGUCAAGAAGCUUUGAUCCGUAGAUUUCCGAAUGGGGCAACCCAAUGUAUAGAGAUAUACAUUACCUAUAUAGGAGCGAACGAGGGGAAUUGAAACAUCUUAGUACCCUCAGGAAAAGAAAUCAAUAGAGAUUGCGUCAGUAGCGGCGAGCGAAAGCGCAAGAGGGCAAACCCAGUGCUUGCACUGGGGGUUGUAGGACUGCAAUGUGCAAGAGGUAAGUUUAGCAGAACAUUCUGGAAAGUAUAACCAUAGAGGGUGAUAGUCCCGUAUGCGAAAAACAAACCUUAGCUAGCAGUAUCCUGAGUAGGGCGGGACACGAGGAAUCCUGUCUGAAUCCGGGUCGACCACGAUCCAACCCUAAAUACUAAUACCAGAUCGAUAGUGCACAAGUACCGUGAGGGAAAGGUGAAAAGAACUGAGGUGAUCAGAGUGAAAUAGAACCUGAAACCAUUUGCUUACAAUCAUUCAGAGCACUAUGUAGCAAUACAGUGUGAUGGACUGCCUUUUGCAUAAUGAGCCUGCGAGUUGUGGUGUCUGGCAAGGUUAAGCAAACGCGAAGCCGUAGCGAAAGCGAGUCUGAAUAGGGCGCUUAGUCAGAUGCUGCAGACCCGAAACGAAGUGAUCUAUCCAUGAGCAAGUUGAAGCUAGUGUAAGAACUAGUGGAGGACUGAACCCAUAGGCGUUGAAAAGCCCCGGGAUGACUUGUGGAUAGGGGUGAAAGGCCAAUCAAACUUCGUGAUAGCUGGUUCUCUCCGAAAUAUAUUUAGGUAUAGCGUUGUGUCGUAAUAUAAGGGGGUAGAGCACUGAAUGGGCUAGGGCAUACACCAAUGUACCAAACCCUAUCAAACUCCGAAUACCUUAUAUGUAAUCACAGCAGUCAGGCGGCGAGUGAUAAAAUCCGUCGUCAAGAGGGAAACAACCCAGACUACCAGCUAAGGUCCCUAAAUCUUACUUAAGUGGAAAACGAUGUGAAGUUACUUAAACAACCAGGAGGUUGGCUUAGAAGCAGCCAUCCUUUAAAGAAAGCGUAAUAGCUCACUGGUCUAGUGAUUUUGCGCGGAAAAUAUAACGGGGCUAAAGUAAGUACCGAAGCUGUAGACUUGCACACAACUUAGAUUAUUUAAGUUUAGAAUAUGAGAAACUAAGUUAUAUGUUUAGUUAUAUUUUUACUGAUUUUUAUAGAGUAAAGAUAGAAAUAAAACUUAGUAAAAUCAGUAAAAAUAUUCUUAGACUAAAGUUAAGUAGUUUAAGUUGUGUGCAAGUGGUAGGAGAGCGUUCUAUUUGCGUCGAAGGUAUACCGGUAAGGAGUGCUGGAGCGAAUAGAAGUGAGCAUGCAGGCAUGAGUAGCGAUAAUUAAUGUGAGAAUCAUUAACGCCGUAAACCCAAGGUUUCCUACGCGAUGCUCGUCAUCGUAGGGUUAGUCGGGUCCUAAGUCGAGUCCGAAAGGGGUAGACGAUGGCAAAUUGGUUAAUAUUCCAAUACCAACAUUAGUGUGCGAUGGAAGGACGCUUAGGGCUAAGGGGGCUAGCGGAUGGAAGUGCUAGUCUAAGGUCGUAGGAGGUUGUACAGGCAAAUCCGUAUAACAAUACUCCGAGAACUGAAAGGCUUUUUGAAGUCUUCGGAUGGAUAGAAGAACCCCUGAUGCCGUCGAGCCAAGAAAAGUUUCUAAGUUUAGCUAAUGUUGCCCGUACCGUAAACCGACACAGGUGGGUGGGAUGAGUAUUCUAAGGCGCGUGGAAGAACUCUCUUUAAGGAACUCUGCAAAAUAGCACCGUAUCUUCGGUAUAAGGUGUGGUUAGCUUUGUAUUAGGAUUUACUCCGAAAGCAAGGAAACUUACAACAAAGAGUCCCUCCCGACUGUUUACCAAAAACACAGCACUCUGCUAACUCGUAAGAGGAUGUAUAGGGUGUGACGCCUGCCCGGUGCUCGAAGGUUAAUUGAUGGGGUUAGCAUUAGCGAAGCUCUUGAUCGAAGCCCGAGUAAACGGCGGCCGUAACUAUAACGGUCCUAAGGUAGCGAAAUUCCUUGUCGGUUAAAUACCGACCUGCAUGAAUGGCGUAACGAGAUGGGAGCUGUCUCAAAGAGGGAUCCAGUGAAAUUGUAGUGGAGGUGAAAAUUCCUCCUACCCGCGGCAAGACGGAAAGACCCCGUGGACCUUUACUAUAGCUUGACACUGCUACUUGGAUAAGAAUGUGCAGGAUAGGUGGGAGGCUUUGAGUAUAUGACGCCAGUUGUAUAUGAGCCAUUGUUGAGAUACCACUCUUUCUUAUUUGGGUAGCUAACCAGCUUGAGUUAUCCUCAAGUGGGACAAUGUCUGGUGGGUAGUUUGACUGGGGCGGUCGCCUCCCAAAUAAUAACGGAGGCUUACAAAGGUUGGCUCAGAACGGUUGGAAAUCGUUCGUAGAGUAUAAAGGUAUAAGCCAGCUUAACUGCAAGACAUACAAGUCAAGCAGAGACGAAAGUCGGUCUUAGUGAUCCGGUGGUUCUGUGUGGAAGGGCCAUCGCUCAAAGGAUAAAAGGUACCCCGGGGAUAACAGGCUGAUCUCCCCCAAGAGCUCACAUCGACGGGGAGGUUUGGCACCUCGAUGUCGGCUCAUCGCAUCCUGGGGCUGGAGCAGGUCCCAAGGGUAUGGCUGUUCGCCAUUUAAAGCGGUACGCGAGCUGGGUUCAGAACGUCGUGAGACAGUUCGGUCCCUAUCUGCCGUGGGCGUAAGAAGAUUGAAGAGAUUUGACCCUAGUACGAGAGGACCGGGUUGAACAAACCACUGGUGUAGCUGUUGUUCUGCCAAGAGCAUCGCAGCGUAGCUAAGUUUGGAAAGGAUAAACGCUGAAAGCAUCUAAGCGUGAAGCCAACUCUAAGAUGAAUCUUCUCUAAGCUCUCUAGAAGACUACUAGUUUGAUAGGCUGGGUGUGUAAUGGAUGAAAGUCCUUUAGCUGACCAGUACUAAUAGAGCGUUUGGCUUAUCUUU
RNAcentral lists this ribosomal RNA (3056 nucleotides) under Campylobacter jejuni. Its description in RNAcentral is "23S ribosomal RNA". It matches the Rfam family "Bacterial large subunit ribosomal RNA". Lineage: Bacteria; Pseudomonadati; Campylobacterota; Epsilonproteobacteria; Campylobacterales; Campylobacteraceae. The record is from RNAcentral.